RNAcentral lists this ribosomal RNA (253 nucleotides) under uncultured bacterium. Its description in RNAcentral is "partial 16S ribosomal RNA". It matches the Rfam family "Bacterial small subunit ribosomal RNA", at positions 524 to 776 of the family's 1533-position model. The record is from RNAcentral.
UACGGGGGGGGCAAGCGUUGUUCGGAAUUACUGGGCGUAAAGGGCUCGUAGGCGGCCAACUAAGUCGGACGUGAAAUCCCUCGGCUUAACCGGGGAACUGCGUCCGAUACUGGAUGGCUCGAGUGUGGGAGAGGGAUGCGGAAUUCCAGGUGUAGCGGUGAAAUGCGUAGAUAUCUGGAGGAACACCGGUGGCGAAGGCGGUAUCCUGGACCACGACUGACGCUGAUGAGCGAAAGCCAGGGGAGCAAACGGG